RNAcentral lists this ribosomal RNA (120 nucleotides) under Anolis carolinensis (green anole). Lineage: Eukaryota; Metazoa; Chordata; Lepidosauria; Squamata; Anolidae. The record is from RNAcentral.
AGCAAAGGAAAUACAAUACAUCAAGGCACCAGAUCCCAUCUGAACUUAGAAGCUAAGCAGAAUCAGCCCUGGUUAGUACUUGGAUGGGAAACCGUCAACAAAUACCAGGAGCUAUAGACU